Molecule: transfer RNA, 73 nt
Filed under: Actinacidiphila rubida
Lineage: Bacteria; Bacillati; Actinomycetota; Actinomycetes; Kitasatosporales; Streptomycetaceae
Description: Streptomyces rubidus tRNA_Asp_GTC
Rfam family: tRNA
About the family: Transfer RNA (tRNA) molecules are approximately 80 nucleotides in length. Their secondary structure includes four short double-helical elements and three loops (D, anti-codon, and T loops).
Source: RNAcentral
GGGCUCGUAGCGCAGUGGUCGUCGCGCCUUCACCACAUGUGGGAGCACGCCGGUUCGAAUCCGGUCGGCCCCA